UUCUCUCACAAAGAGAGAGAAACACAAGGUCUUUGCACUCCAAAGAAAUCCAAGAAAUUCAAUCUCUUCAAAACUGCCGCUUGGAAAAACAGAACGCUCGAAUGACAAGUGUGGGGAAAGCUGGGAAGAGAUGACGCUAAGUGAGGAAACACAAGAAUCAGGGGAGCGAAACUACAUUUCCCAGAAAGCCACGGGCUGGCCUGCAACCACCGUGCUCCCCAAGCCCGCCGGAAGCCUCCGUCUCGCUCUUCAGUAACCUGUUCGCCGCCGUCCCUUUUUCUAAGGAACGUUAGAGAAAGCCAAGGAAGGAAAGGCUAACUGUAGUACAGCAGCGAAGGUUUUGCCACCAGUGUCUUUCUGAGCCGUGGUCAUUCCGACCUUCGCUUGUAAAGGAACUGGAAAACCCACGGCAACCGGGCUGGGCCUACGGACCAUGUGACCAGGCUGGGUCACGUGACUCCAGAGCCCGGCAGCUAAAGUUUGUUACCCCGGCAACUGGUGGACCCGCACAGACCUUUCCGGAAAGCGCGGAAUUCAGAGGCAGAGGUAAGAGUGCUUCCAGUGUUUGAUAUACUUUAGAAUGUUCACUCUGGGAGGUCAAAAUUGUUGACUAUGGCUGACUGUUCCCAAGAAGAGCUAGAUGAAGAGUUUGAACAGUUUAUGAAAGAGCUUUCAGAUGAUUCUUCUGAAAAUUCAGACAAAAGAGCUAGACAACCUAGAAAAGACAUGAAGAAGAAAGAUACGGUGCCUUGGUGGAUAACUGAAGAUGAUUUUAAGGAUGAUGGACUGCUUGGAACAAAUGUGAGCUAUUUGAAAACAAAGAAGACUUCUCAACCUGUUACGGAAAUAGAAGAGGAGUCUGCUGAAAAGAUUCAGUUUCUUAAGAGCAGUGGAACCUCUCUCUUAAGUACUGACAGCUUAGAAACAAAUGAACUGGUAGUUUCUGAGCUCAACCAUAGUAUUCUCAGAGUGGGAUUGGACACAUUAGAAGAACAAGAGGAGAAAGAACAAUUUUUUGCCAGGCUUGAGAAAGGCUUGACAUCUUCCAUUGAUUAUUCGAGAUUAAAUAAGGAAUUGGAUUCUAAUGACUCUGUAUAUUUUAAAGAUUUACAAAGUAAUCAAGCCAAUUUAGACCUAACUGAUGACAAACAUGAGAAUGGAUUGAAACACGAGGAACUGGCAGAAAAUUACAGUGAUGAUUUUGAAGAUGAGUAUGUUGACACACCUUUGACUACUAAAGAUGAAGAUACCCAUUCCAAAGAGAAUUCUGAAUCAGAAAAAAUAAGCACACCCAAACAGGAAGAAGAAAAAACUGGCAUGCUGGCUAAUGUUGUGCUGCUUGAUUCAUUAGACUCUGUUGCAGAGGUCAACCUUGAUGAACAAGAUAAAACAACACCUAAGCCAAAGGGUCUACCAGAAAUGACUGAUAAUGAAAUGACAGGAACAGGUAUUUCUUACGGACAAAGCAAUAGUGACAUUGAAGCCCUACAUCAAGCUUAUUCUCAUAUAGCACAUUCAUUGGGAGAUGAAGAUGAACAAAAAAUUGAGAGUAACACAAUAGAAGAUACCAAGAGUUCAGUGAAAGGUCAUCCUCAAGAAAGUGAAGAGCAUUCAAAAAACAUCUCUACUAUGGAAUCUGAUCUGCCCACAGUAGAGGAGCUAAUGAAACCUAUCAGAAUAGAUUCAUUUGGGGUCAGUGGUUUUGAUUUACAAGCUGUCAGCUCUGAGAAAGUGGCUGAAAGUAAAGAAACUGAAUUUGUUAGCUCUUUACCCCUGAAGAUGAACCCAAAUAUUAUAUCUCAAGACUCACAAAAUAUAAACCAUUUUUUUGACAAAAAUGAUGAGAAUGUGAUUUUACAAAAGACCACAAAUGAGAGUAUGGAGAACAGCUGUCCAAGAGUAACUGCCACAGAAGAACAUGUUGAUAAAAUGUACCUUGAUAUUUUGAGGAAAAAAAUAUCUGUUAAUUCCUCAUCAUUAUCUCAGGAUGACAGAAUUAGUAAAGCUUACAGAUCUCAACUUAGUUCUGAAGAAGAAGGGGCUGUAAUGGGUAAACCAGUACCAUACAAGAAGGCCAGAAGUGCACCUCCUUUACUUAAAAGGAAACCCCAGAAAGGAUUGUAUGCAUCAGUUAGGAGCUCAGGCUAUGGCAAACCCAGUUCACCACUCAAGAUGUUUUCUACUCUUGAAAAGAAAACUUCAGAGGACACUAUGAAAAGCAGAAACCUGAGAUCCAUUCCCACCUCCAAUCAACCUAGGAAAAAAGAAAUCUUAUCUGGAACAAAACUCAUCAAGCCUGCAGCUUUGGAUAAACCAGCUCUCAAAACUGAAAGUUGCCUGGCUACUCCUCAGAAGUUUGAAGAUCCCACAGAAACUGAUUUCUGUAUUCAACUUCAUACGGAUUUCUUAGGUUACUGUGGUGAGAACAAGGAGAAGGAAUUACUUAUGUUUAAAAGAGUACAUGAAGCAGAGGAAAAAUGGAGGGGUGCACAAGCCCUAAUUGAGCAAAUUAAAGUCACAUUCUCAGAAAAAGAGAAAGAACUAGAAAAUAAGUUAGAAGAAUUAAAGAAACAACAGGAAAAAGAACUCUUCAAAUUGAAUCAAGAUAAUUAUAUUCUUCAAGCCAAGUUAAGCAGCUUUGAAGAAACAAACAAAAAACAAAGGUGGUUACAUUUCGGAGAAGCAGCUGAUCCUGUCACUGGAGAAAAAUUGAAGCAAAUCCAAAAAGAAAUACAAGAACAGGAGACACUUCUUCAAGGAUAUCAACAGGAAAAUGAACGAUUAUAUAAUCAAGUAAAAGAUCUCCAAGAACAAAACAAGAAAAAUGAGGAGCGAAUGUUUAAGGAAAAUCAGAGUUUAUUCAGCGAGGUAGCUUCCUUAAAAGAACAGAUGCACAAAAGUCGUUUUCUGUCUCAAGUAGUUGAAGAUUCAGAGCCCACCAGAAACCAGAAUUUUACAGAUCUGUUAGCAGAACUACGGAUGGCACAGGUAAUGGCUGAGGAUUCUCUAGAAGUGAUAAAAGAUGAAUUCUCAAAUUUAGGAAGCACAAAAGAAAAAAACAGUUUAUUGGAAGACAUCAAAAGACUGAAACAAGACAAACAAGCUCUUGAAGUAGACUUGGAAAAAAUGAAGAAAGAGAGGGACCAAGCCAAAGAUCAGAUUGCUUAUGUCACAGGUGAAAAAUUAUAUGAAAUAAAAAUUUUAGAAGAAACACAUAAACGAGAAAUCAGUCGUCUGCAAAAAAGAUUACAGUGGUAUGCUGAAAACCAGGAACUUCUAGAUAAAGAUGCACUUCGGCUUAGAGAAGCAAAUGAGGAAAUUGAGAAGCUCAAACUUGAGAUUGAGAAACUGAAAACUGAAUCUGGGAAUCCAUCUAUUCAGCAGAAGAUACGCUUAAAAGAUAAAGCAGCAGAUGCCAAAAAAAUUCAGGAUCUAGAGCGACAAGUUAAAGAAAUGGAAGGGAUUCUGAAGAGAAGAUAUCCCAAUUCUUUACCUGCUUUAAUAUUGGCUGCAUCAGCAGCUGGUGACACAGUGGAUAAAAAUACCGUGGAAUUUAUGGAGAAAAGGAUUAAAAAGCUAGAAGCUGAUCUGGAGGGCAAAGAUGAAGAUGCAAAGAAAAGCCUUCGUACCAUGGAACAACAGUUUCAGAAAAUGAAGAUUCAGUAUGAACAAAGACUAGAGCAGCAGGAGCAGCUCCUUGCUUGCAAAUUGAAUCAACAUCACUCUCCCAGAAUUAAAGCACUAGAGAAGGAACUUGAUGACACUAAGGAAGCCCAUCAGAUCACUGUACGAAAGCUUGAAGCUGAAAUAGACGUUCUUAAGCACCAGAAUGCUGAAUUAGACGUCAAGAAAAGUGGUAAAGUUGAUAAAGACUUUCAGUCUAUAGAAUUUCAAGUGGAGCAGGCUCAUGCUAAAGCUAAACUAGUAAGACUCAAUGAAGAGCUGGCUGCAAAAAAGAGAGAAAUACAAGACCUUUCAAAAACUGUGGAGAGGCUUCAGAAAGAAAGAAGAAUGAUGCUAUCUAAUCAGAACUCUAAGGGCAGAGAGGAAAUGUCUGCCAAAAGGGCAAAGAAAGAUGUUUUGCACUCAAGUAAAGGGAAUGCUAACUCCUUCCCUGGAACCCUGGAUAGCAAGCUUUACCAGCCACGAACUUUCACUGAUUCCCAUGUUUCAGAAGUUUUAGAAGAAAACUACAGAUUAAAAACUGAGCUAGAGGAAUUAAUUUCAGAGAAGAAUGAUCUGAAGAUGAAAUCUGAAGCAGCAAUGAAUGAAUUUGAAAACUCCAUGAGAAGGGUCAAGGAAGAUAGUGCAGCACACAUUGCAUCCCUCAAAGCAUUUCAUCAGAGGGAAACAGAGAAACUCCUUUGCCAAAAUGCAGUAGAAAAUUCUUCUUCCAAAGUAGCAGAACUAAAUCGUAAAAUAGCAACUCAAGAGGUACUUAUAAAACAUUUCCAAAGUCAAGUUAAUGAGCUGCAGAGUAAACAAGAGUCUCUUGUAAUUUCUCAAGUUCGAGAAGAAAUUCUACAGAAAGAGAAAAGCAGGUUCACGGGGAACGAUCCAAGAUGGCCGAUCGCUAACAUCCCGGGAUUGCAGCUCUCAGGGAAGGCGCGGAGAACUAGAGGACGCCACACUUUCAGACAAAGUCUGGUCGCUCACGGAGCAGAAGAUCCCCCAGUGGUGGAAACACACGGGUCGCCAGCGCGACUCUCGUGGUCGGCGCAGCGGUUCCGCCGGCACCUCGGCGCGGCAGCUCUCGGAGCAGAGUAAACGGGACGGGUUCCCCUUCUGACCGAGGUUUGGAGCCCUGGGAAGGCAGAGUCGCCUACUACGGAAACAAGAAGGAAGCCCGACAGGAGAAUCCUGGGCGGAAAAGCACCAUCAGUUUUAACGCCGCUGCUCUGGCCCUGGGAACUAACAACCUGGACGUCCACUCAAGAGACCUAAUCUGAAAGUUGGUAACUUCAAAGACGAGAGGAGGAUAAAUUUACAAUGACGGGAAGAAACCAGCGUAAAAAAGCUGAGAAUACUCAAAGUCAGAACGCCUCUCCCUCUAAAGAUGAUCACAGUUCCACAUCAACAAUGGAACAAGGCUUGAUGGAGAACGAGCGCCUCCUGAUGACAGAAUCACUCUUCAAGGAAUGGAUAAUAACAAAAUUCGAUUACAAAACUCUUAGAAGAAUUGAGAGAAGCCAGAGAAAACCAUACACCAGAGAUGAAACAUUUCAUGGGCUUAGAAAUGAAAAUUAAGCAGAUGGAAAUGAGACAUGUACAAAG
Molecule: non-coding RNA, 5274 nt
Organism: Callithrix jacchus (white-tufted-ear marmoset)
Lineage: Eukaryota; Metazoa; Chordata; Mammalia; Primates; Cebidae
Source: RefSeq, a predicted model, not a curated record